GGUUGUAAACUCCUUUUCCCGGGGAAGAAUAAUGACGGUACCCGGGGAAUAAGCCUCGGCUAACUACGUGCCAGCAGCCGCGGUAAUACGUAGGAGGCGAGCGUUAUCCGGAUUUACUGGGCGUAAAGAGCGCGUAGGCGGCCCUUCAAGUCGGAUGUAAAAUCUCCCGGCUUAACUGGGAGGGAUCAUCCGAUACUGCUGGGCUAGAGUGCAGCAGAGGAAAGCGGAAUUCCCGGUGUAGUGGUGAAAUGCGUAGAUAUCGGGAGGAACACCAGUGGCGAAGGCGGCUUUCUGGGCUGUAACUGACGCUGAGGCGCGAAGGCGUGGGGAGCAAACAGGAUUAGAUACCCUGGUAGUCCACGCAGUUAACGAUGGACACUAGGUAUGGGGAGUAUCGACCCUCUCUGUGCCGAAGCUAACGCUUUAAGUGUCCCGCC
This 437-nucleotide ribosomal RNA is filed under the name uncultured bacterium. Its description in RNAcentral is "bacterial SSU rRNA". It matches the Rfam family "Bacterial small subunit ribosomal RNA", at positions 421 to 873 of the family's 1533-position model. The record is from RNAcentral.